AUCCAGUUGACGAGUCCCAAAUAGGACGAAAUGUGUAUCCUGACUGGAU
This is a non-coding RNA of Trichobilharzia regenti, 49 nucleotides long. The record is from Rfam. NCBI's taxonomy places the organism in Eukaryota, Metazoa, Platyhelminthes, Trematoda, Strigeidida, Schistosomatidae.